CGGAGUGGACGCAUCACUGGUGUUCGGGUUGUCAUGCCAAUGGCAUUGCCCGGUAGCUAAAUGCGGAAGAGAUAAGUGCUGAAAGCAUCUAAGCACGAAACUUGCCCCGAGAUGAGUUCUCCCUGACUCCUUGAGAGUCCUGAAGGAACGUUGAAGACGACGACGUUGAUAGGCCGGGUGUGUAAGCGCAGCGAUGCGUUGAGCUAACCGGUACUAAUGAACCGUGAGGCUUAACCUUACAACGCCGAAG
Molecule: ribosomal RNA, 250 nt
Filed under: Escherichia coli
Lineage: Bacteria; Pseudomonadati; Pseudomonadota; Gammaproteobacteria; Enterobacterales; Enterobacteriaceae
Also listed under: 2 other names
Description: partial 23S ribosomal RNA
Rfam family: Bacterial large subunit ribosomal RNA
Source: RNAcentral